GGCGGCUGAAGUCGGGCGGUGGCGAGCUUUGAAGUUCCCGCCUUUGAGUCCACAAGCCUGAACAAGACCAGGCCCGCCCUCUGCUGGUCUCUGGCUCCCUGUCUUGAGUGAAGGAAUUUUCCAGGAGUGUCUUCUUGGCCUGGUGGAAUGCCGACAGGACGCGGCACGUCUCUGCUUGUCUCUGCUCACCGCCCUAAAGACGACUCGGGAGAGGAAUAGCUGCAACAACAAGCGGGGAAGAUGAUGGAUUUCUUUCAUGUUUGCUGCUGAUAAGCUGACUGCGGAGACACAUUAUUAGAACUUCAUUCAGUUUUCUUCCUAUUUUUUGAGGCCUCCAGCCUGCUGGGUCCUGCUCUCAGGAGACCCAUCUGCUUAUCAGCAAACAGAAAAGAAGAAGCCAUUUCCUCCCAUCCCGCGGUGGAGGGCACCUGCAGAAACCCGGGGCUCAGGUAGGAGCGACUCCAUGUUGCCAUGGCGAAGAAAAAGACUCAUUUCCUGCCUAAUAACAAACGAGAUACAGAGGCGUUGUUUUCGCCCAUCUCCCCGUCCUGGAGGGGUGCACACUCCGAUGUCUCGGCGUUCUCCGCCGCAGAGCAAAGUGUUGCUGCGUGUGCGCAAAAAAACAGCGUCUUAUUAUACCUUGGCUGCCCCCGGAAAUGUUUAGGAGGCAACAUAUGAACUUGAAUUUUAUUUGAAACACACUUUAUACAAAACCCCGUUUCCAUAUGAGUUGGGAAAUUGUGUUAGAUGUAAAUAUAAGCAAAAUACAAUGAUUUGCAAAUUCUUUUCAACCCAUAUUCAAUUAAAUAGACAACAUAUUUGAUGU
Nerophis ophidion (straightnose pipefish) is the source of this 826-nucleotide long non-coding RNA. RefSeq lists it as uncharacterized. The transcript is spliced from 4 exons. NCBI's taxonomy places the organism in Eukaryota, Metazoa, Chordata, Actinopteri, Syngnathiformes, Syngnathidae. The record is from RefSeq and is a predicted model, not a curated record.